This 267-nucleotide long non-coding RNA is filed under the name Elaeis guineensis (African oil palm). RNAcentral describes it as "long non-coding RNA (EGUI_LNC048842)". Lineage: Eukaryota; Viridiplantae; Streptophyta; Magnoliopsida; Arecales; Arecaceae. The record is from RNAcentral.
UUCAAUGCUUCUCUAAGAAUAUUGUAGCAAUUCGAUCUUUAAGUCAUUUGGGCUCACCUGACAGAUAUUGGCCACACUCUUUAGUUAAGUCAGACCCACCAUUCAAUGCAAGAGUAAAACUAUCAUUGGAUCCCUCACCUAAUAAAUAUUGAGCCUAACCCCAUCAUCACCCUACAACAAUCCUUUGCUAAUAGAGUGGUUGCAUAUUUCUGAUGUAAUUGAACUACUAUGAUCAAUCCAGAACAAUCAACACCAGUAGCACGCCCG